This 300-nucleotide ribosomal RNA is filed under the name uncultured bacterium. RNAcentral describes it as "partial 16S ribosomal RNA". The stretch from base 52 to 300 matches the Rfam family "Bacterial small subunit ribosomal RNA", at positions 547 to 795 of the family's 1533-position model. The record is from RNAcentral.
GCUAGGGGGGGGGGAGACGGUGGGGGAAGACGGAGGGGUGAAGAGUUAAGUGGAAUUACUGGGCGUAAAGAGGGCGUAGGCGGUUUGUUAAGUCGGGGGUGAAAUCCCUGGGCUCAACCUGGGAACGGCGCUUGUGACUGGCAGGCUAGAGUACGGCAGAGGGGGGUGGAAUUCCACGUGUAGCAGUGAAAUGCGUAGAGAUGUGGAGGAACACCAAUGGCGAAGGCAGCCCCCUGGGUCGAUACUGACGCUCAUGCACGAAAGCGUGGGUAGCGAAUGGGAUUAGAUACCCCUGUAGUC